Molecule: long non-coding RNA, 1053 nt
Filed under: Phascolarctos cinereus (koala)
Lineage: Eukaryota; Metazoa; Chordata; Mammalia; Diprotodontia; Phascolarctidae
Description: lncRNA (ENSPCIG00000034809.1)
Source: RNAcentral
UUUUUCCAAAAGCAUCCGUAAGUGGUUCUGCAACUAAUGAAAUGAUUUACAACUGUCAGAAUAUUUUUCAAGUUUAUUCUUACAUGGAAAGUGACUUUAAGAGUAUAGCAUUCAGAAUCAGCGUCUCUUCCUGGCCACAAAGAAGACUUGCAAGGUCAUACCCUUUUUCCUUCUUUUUCUGCUAACGCCUAGUUGGAAUGUAGCAACAUCCCAUUGAUUCAUAAAAUCAAUUGACCUUGGCCCCCAUUUAUCCCAGGCCCCUCCACUUCUUAGAAAGUUGUUUUUCUGUUUGUUGUUUUUAAAGAACUCUGGAAGGUCAUGGUUGAGGAAUCUGCAAAUGCUGAAAAUGUUCUUUGUGUCAGCAGCCUAUAUAAUGAGAGACUGAAUGUUUUUAUUAUAGACAUUAGCUGGUGAUUUUACUUUGCUCACAGUGCUAAGUUAAUACAUCUGCCCGCACUAUCUACUCAGAAACUACCACGCUUUUGAGUAACAGAGCAUAAACCCUCUCUAUAAAUAGUUUUCCUUAGAUCACCCUGAGCCCGGACCCAUUCCCUACCAGAUAAUAAGUGAUGUUAAUCUUUUGAUUCUUUUCUCUCUUUCAUAGAUUACAUCGUAUUUUAAAUCAGACAUAAACAAAAUCUUGCAGGAAACGUAAUUAGAAAUGAAAUUGCUCCAAAGAACCUUUGUCUCUGGAAAAAGAAAAGAAAAACAACCUUUUUCACCCUCCAUGAUGUGCUGGGACAUAUCUAGUCUAAUGAUCAGCUGUCACCAAGUAAUUGAAUACCCCAGAGCUUGAAGUGCCAGAGAGUCUAUGCAUUUUCAUUCCUGUUAUUUUUUCCUCUUCAUAAAUAGAGAGGUUCAAAGACAGCUACCCAUGACCAAACUGGCAUGUAAAAGCAGAAUCAUUACAUAUGUAAAAGGCUAUACAAGAGGAAAGAAUACCAGAUUUAAAUGGCAGAGACCCCAAAUUCCCAUCUUGAGUCUUCCCUAUUUACUAGGUGAGUCACUUCAAUUUUCUGGUAAAAGUUCCCUCAUCUUUAAAAUGGGGAGUUU